Molecule: microRNA precursor, 74 nt
Filed under: Ornithorhynchus anatinus (platypus)
Lineage: Eukaryota; Metazoa; Chordata; Mammalia; Monotremata; Ornithorhynchidae
Description: mir-1421 microRNA precursor family
Rfam family: mir-1421 microRNA precursor family
Source: Rfam by way of RNAcentral
CGGUGUUAGCAGGUUACAUGCGGUGCAGUAUGGUAGUGGAAAAUGCUGCAUCCCUUGUGACCUCCGUACAGAGU